RNAcentral lists this long non-coding RNA (5641 nucleotides) under Phaseolus vulgaris (common bean). RNAcentral's name for it is "long non-coding RNA (PVUL_LNC002608)". Lineage: Eukaryota; Viridiplantae; Streptophyta; Magnoliopsida; Fabales; Fabaceae. The record is from RNAcentral.
AGAGAAAGUGAAAAGUGGAAAUUGGGAAACGAAGAAGAUGGUGAGCGGAGGAAGAAGAUGAAGUAGUGAGAGUUGCGUUUUCUGAAGAGGGGAAAGCGGUAUUUAUAGAUUGAGAACCCCCAAGGGUGCCGCCUCUUCAAACCCUAGAGGGUUCAAGGUUGUCGCCGCAGAAGAGGGAAGACCAGCGUGAAGGAAGGAGUCAACCUCCCACUCCUCUCGUAACGAUCUACAACGUUCAAAAAUCCAGCAGUGCGGAGGCGCCCAACUUCCGAUUCGUGCGGCCACGAUCCAAGGUUGAAAGGGCAACGUUUGAUUUUCAACUUGGAAACUAUCUCCACUUCACCCAUGCUUCCGAGAUUUCCUCCAACGGCACUAUGAAGAAGUUAGGGUUUUUUUGCGCAUCCUCUAUUUCUGUUUCUGCACUUUAUUUUGCAAUACAUACUCUGUUUUUACAACAAUCCCCCACAUAUUGCAAAAGAUAAAACAUAGAGAUAAGAAGAAGAAAAAAAUUGGAUUCAUCUAAGAUGUAAUGCAUCAGAUCAGGUAUAGCAAGCUAUAUGAACCAGUCUUAGAUUAAUGAACGUAACACAUAGUGUAGUUGGUAUAGCAAGCUAUAUGAACCAAGACACUUAGUAUGUGUUAGAGGUUUAUCAAUCACAAUACACCCCCACAUUACUUGUUGUUAUCGCUGUGUUGCGCUACUAGGCCAUGCGCGUGCCCGGUAUUCAUGAGUGCUAUAGAGAUCUUGCCAAGAUCUCAUGCAAGCGGCCCCACUUGACACUCAUAUAGGUGAUUUCAUCAAGUGUAUGCUGCAAAUUAUACAUCACCCAUAAGAGAUAUGAAAAUCAUUAAAACUUUGUAAAUCAUUAAAACUCUUUUAUCUUUGAAUUUUAACCACAAAGUUUAUCCUCUCGAUUAUGCAGUAUCUAGCACUUUCACACACACCAUAGGAAUGGACAAAAUUGAUUUAAAAAUCAAUAUUAGUGCUAGCAGAACAAACAAGUGACUUGUUUUUACCCAUAUGAACCUUAUUCAUGGGAUCUCCAAUCACAAAGGUUGGGUUUCCAUCACUUGUUUGUUUGCAAGUGGCUUAAGUCCCAUUCCCCUCGAUGUUUCUAAAAUCAUUUUUCUCCCUAGGGGUUUUGUUAGAGGAUCCGCCAGAUUCCGUUUUGACUUGACAUAGUCAAUAGAAAUCGUUCCACUCUUUAACAGCUGUUUCACCAAAUUGUGUCUCAAUUGUAUAUGUCUAUUCUUCCCAUUAUAGCUUUUAUUUUUAGCUAUAUCUAUUGUCGAUUGGCAAUCACAAUGCAUUGAUACAGAUGGGGUUGGAAUCAUUCCUAAAGGAAUGUUUGCUAAGAAGUUUUUCAACCACUCAGCUUCACUACCAGCCAUUUCUAGAGCAACAAACUCAGANNNNNNNNNNNNNNNNNNNNNNNNNNNNNNNNNNNNNNNNNNNNNNNNNNNNNNNNNNNNNNNNNNNNNNNNNNNNNNNNNNNNNNNNNNNNNNNNNNNNGGCUGAUCUCCAUGUAACUGCACCACCCCAAGUGUAAAUACAUAACCACUAGUGGAUUUUGUCUCCUCUGAAUCAGAGAUCCAGUUAGCAUCACUGUACCCUUCUAGCACAGCGGGAAAUCCACUAUAUUCAAUGGCAUAAUCCAUUGUACCUCUCAAGUAUUUCAUGAGUCUCGCAAGUGUUUCCCAAUGAUCCUGACUAGGACAUUGAGUGUAUCUACUCAAUCUACCUACUGCAUAAGCAAUAUCUGGUCUAGAAAAGCUCAUUAAAUGCAAUAAGCUCUCAAUUAUCUGGGCAUACUGAGUUUGAGAAAUAGAUUCUCCUCUGUUCUUCUUUAAUUUAGAGUUAGCAUCAUAAGGGGUACUCACUAACUUAAAGUCAUAGUAACCAAACUUCUUUAGAAGUUUCUCAGUGUAUUUUUCUUGGGAUAGUAAUAUACUAUCUCCCUUCCUUAUGAUUUUAACUCCUAGAAUCAUACUUGCUUCACCCAUGUCUUUCAUCUCAAACUUAGAUCCAAGAAACAAUUUUGUUUUAAAAACUAUAUCAUUGCAUGUACCAAAAAUUAGCAUGUCAUCCACAUACAAACAUAUAAUGACAUAUUCACCAUUUUCAGAUCUAGAAUACACACAUUUAUCAGCAUCAUUGGUAGAAAAACCUUCACAAAGUAAAACAUUAUCAAGUUUUUCAUGCCAUUGUUUUGGUGCUUGUUUCAAACCAUACAAAGAUUUUAAAAGUUUGCAUACUUUUUCCUUUUGACCUGGGACUACAGAACCUUCAGGUUGAGUCAUAUAAAUUUCCUCUUCUAAUUCACCAUUCAGAAAAGCUGUUUUAACAUCCAUUUGGUGAAUUACUAACUUAUGGAUAGAUGCUAAGGCUAGCAAUACACGGAUAGAGGAAAUCCUAGUAACAGGUGCAAAAGUAUCAAAGUAAUCUAUGUUAUGUUUUUGAGUAAACCCUUUAGCUACUAAUCUUGCCUUAUAUUUCUCUAUGGAUCCAUCAGGAUGGUACUUCUUCUUAAAGAUCCACUUACAACCAAUGGGUUUUGCUCCUUUAGGCAAAUCUACUAAGGUCCACGUAUUAUUUUUCUUAAUUGAAUCAAGCUCAGUUUUAAUGGCCUUAUCCCAAUGUUUAGCAUCAGGAGCACUAAUAGCUUCUACAAAACUUAUUGGAUCAUUCUCAACUAGAUAAGUAUAAAAGUCAUCUCCAAAAGAUGUUUCCUUUCUCUAUCUUUUACUUCUCCUAAUAUCCUCACUCAAGGUAUCACUAGCACUAUCUAUAGGUUGUUCAGAUGUACCACUACUCUUUAGAGGAAAGAUGUGUUCAAAGAACUCAGCGUUUUUCGUCUCUACUAUAGUGUUACGUUCAAUUAUAUCACUAUUAAGAACUAGAAACCUAUAGGCAGCGCUAUGUUUUGCAUAUCCUAAGAACAUACAAUCAGAUGUUUUAGAGCCUAUUUUCCUUUUCUUAGGAUCAGGUAACAUUACUUUAGCUAAACACCCCCACACUCUUAGGUAUUUCAAAUUAGGUUGAUAACCUUUCCACAACUCAUAGGGUGUUUUACCAGUUUUCCUAUGUGGUAUCCUAUUUUGCAAAAAACACGCAGUAAGCAGAGAUUCACCCCAUAAAUUAUCAGGAGCAUCAGAACUAAUAAGCAUGGCAUUCAUCAUUUCUUUAAGAGUCCUAUUUUUCCUUUCAGCUACUCCAUUAGACUCAGGUGAAUAUGGUGGGGUUACUUCAUGAAUAAUACCUUCUUUUACACAAUAGUCAUUAAAUAAAACAUAUUCACCACCUCUAUCUAAUCUAAUUCUCUUAAUUUUCUUAUUAAGUUGAUUUUCUACUUCCGCUUUAUAAGUUAAAAACAUGUCAAAAGCUUCAUCCUUAUGUUUAAUUAAAUACACUUUGGUGUAUCUAGAAAAAUCAUCUAUAAAGGUUACAAAAUAAUUUUUACCACCUCUAGACAUGGUUUGUUUUAAAUCAGCAAGGUCGGUAUGAAUUAAACCAAGAAUUUCAGUUUGACGUUCUACAGAGUGACAUGUUUUCUUCGUUAUUUUAGAUUCUACGCAUACAUCACAUUUACUACUUUGUUUGUCAUGCAUGUUGAUUAAUCCUAGUCGUUGCAAUUUUAUAACAUACGAAGAAUUCACAUGUCCUAAUCUAGCAUGCCAUAUAUCAUACGAGUCAACAAUAUAAGCAGAAAAUUUAGAUUCAUUCAUAAUUUCAGAAAUGUUUAAUACAAAAAGGUCUUGAUCACAAUAUCCCUUUCCCACAAAAACAUUGUUUUUGGUCAUAACAAUCUUGCCAGAUUCAAAUGACACUUUAACCCCAACUUUGCUUAGUAAUGCCACAGAGACCAAAUUAACUCUAAUUGAUGGCACAUGUAGCACAUCAUUCAAAGCUAGAGUUUUACCACAUGUGAGCUUCAGAAGAACUUUUCCUUUUCCUAGGACAAGAGUUGUUCUGGAGUCACCGAGAUAUACUUGUUCUUCUCCAUCCCCCACACUUGUGUAGGAGGUGAACACAUUUCUGUUUGCACAGAUGUGUCUGGUAGCCCCAGAGUCUACCACCCAUUUGCUCACAUUUGUCACAAGGUUUACUUGUGAAGCGACUGCCACAAUAGUAUCUUCCCCUUCGGCUAGAUUUUCCUUAGGAGGAUAGUCGUUUUUAGCCCUAUGUCUGCACUGAGGUGCAUGAUGGCCUGGCUUUCCACAGACAAAGCAAUUACCUUUUUUCUUGAAAGUGGGGUUAGUUCCACUGGGACGAGAGAAUUUGUUAUUAGGUUUCUUUUUGUGAUCAAAUUUUUUCUCGUACCUUUUUGGAGCUGGUUUGUCUUCUAUCACGUUUGCUUUGGCAGACAAAGCUUUGGCCUUUGCAGCAGCGCACUCCUUCCUGUUUGUGUCUUCAAUGAUGAUGUGGGUGAUCAAAUCUGAUAGAGACAUCUGUUUCUGUCUGUGCUUCAGUUGUUGUUUGUAAUCUGUCCAAGACUGCGGAAGCUUUUCGAUCAAGAGUUCGGACACGAAUUCAUCUGGCAAUUUUAUGCUUUCAGUUUUGAUAUCUUCAAUCAUCUUGUGAUAUUCGUUUAUUUGGAUUUUGAUGUCUUUGCCUUCGAUCAUCUCCCAACGGUAGUAGUUUGCAAUUACGAACCUUUGUCUGACGAUGUCUUCGGCAGUAUAUUUGAGGAUAAGAGAAUCCCAAAUGUCUUUCGCAUUCUUAUAAGAAGCAUAAACAUCAAACAGAUCGUUAGAUAACACACUCAGUAAAGUGUGACGACAUACCUUAUUCGCAUGGAUCCAGUCGUCAACUUGUUUCGCAGCCGUGGUUGAGUCGAGUUUGGCAGUUGUAAGUGCAUGAGCAACUCCGUACAUGAGCAACUUCGUACAUGUCCAAUAGGAUGGACACGCGUUUUUGCCAACGUCGGAAGUUCUGACCGGUGAAGACUUCAAUUUUGGAGACGUCCGGAAAAGGUUUCGCAAAAAUGGUUUGCGUUGCGGAAGCAACAUUUGAUGUUCUCGUAGCGGUGUUGUCGUUGUUGUUCGGAUUUUCAGCCAUAAGUCCUUACGACUGUAGUAAUUUAGGCUUUAAAACGAACAAAAAAUGGUUUUCCGAUGCGUGAGUAAUCACUGUCCGUAAGGACUUAUCCGCAGUGUAUUGCGUAAGUCCCCCAGGAUACAACAGGAACUUCCCGGUAAUUUCCGAGGAUCAGAACUAGCAAGUUUCUCUUUAAAAGAGUAAUACCAAAUAGAACCCAAAAAAUAUUAUAAUAUUAAAAUAAAGAGGAGAGAGAAAGUGAAAAGUGGAAAUUGGGAAAAGAAGAAGAUGGUGAGCGGAGGAAGAAGAUGAAGUAGUGAGAGUUGCGUUUUCUGAAGAGGGGAAAACAGUAUUUAUAGAUGGAGAACCCCCAAGGGUGCCGCCUCUUCAAACCCUAGUGGGUUCAAGGUUGUCGCCGCAGAAGAGGGAAGACCAGCGUGAAGGAAGGAGUCAACCUCCCACUCCUCUCGUAAUGAUCUACAACGUUCAAAAAUCCAGCAGUGCGGAGACGCCCAACUUUCGAUUCGUGCGGCCACGAUCCAAGGUUGAAAGGGCAACGUUUGAUUUUCAACUUGGAAACUAUCUCCACUUCACCCAUGCUUC